Molecule: ribosomal RNA, 441 nt
Filed under: Triticum aestivum (bread wheat)
Lineage: Eukaryota; Viridiplantae; Streptophyta; Magnoliopsida; Poales; Poaceae
Description: partial small subunit ribosomal RNA
Source: RNAcentral
AUGGAGCUCCUCUGCCAUCUCAUCGAUGACCAUGACUGGCCGUCAACUGAGUUUGAGUACGGCCGGCGUUUCAAACUGCAGAUUCAGGAAGGAAUGCAUGUUCUCCACACACAAGAGGUUGGUCCCCUGUUCCUGGUGAAAUUCACGCCGUUGCCGCCUUUCGGCAAUGCCACCUCCACCUUGUGCAUAGAUCCUCAUGCCGUGGCAGCGGAGCGCAAGUUCAAAUGUCAAGCUGGUUUCCACAGUGACGCCAUGCCUUGGAAGCAGUAUUCAGAUUUCCACAUCAGAAGCACCAAUCUCUCCAACGGCUUACCAACGGAGGAUGGCAGCUGCUCAUUCGUUGUGCCAAAUGCUCCUUCUGACCAGCCCACCGCUGCUUGCUUCUCCGUCAGUAUCGAUAAGAUAUCUCGUGGCAGCAUGUGCUUAACUGGCAGUAUGUGA